CAGAGGAAAUUGUAAUAUUAAGAACACGCCCACUAAUGUUUGCUAAGUUUCGUUUCUGCCGCCAUUUUCUAACCCCGCAGUGGAAGGUCGAGGUGAACCGCAGCAAUGGACGGCGGUGAGCCAGGAUGCAGGCUGUGCGUGUUAAGUACAGAAAGCUACAGAAGUACAUCUGUUUUGAGGACCAAGUGACCUACACAUCCUUUUUGGAAUGUGCUGCCAAGAACUUAAGAGUUUUUGAUGACGCAAAGACUGAGGUUGAUGAGGAAGUCUUUGAUUUCCUUAUGAAGAAACAAAACCUGGGUGUGCUCCAGAUUUGUCUUGCACAAGGUCCAAAUCCAGAUGAUUGCAUGAGUUCCCCUGCAAGCAGCUCCUUUACCAGCUCCAGUGGGGAUAUUGAAGGGGACUCUGAUGACUGCAGCACAGUCCUGCCACCAGAUGGAGAGCUGAAAACACCUCUCUUGCCCAAAAGGUGGGAGUGGGAAUCUGGCUUGGAGACUGAAGUUUGUCCAAAAGGAAGCUUCUGAUGGAGAAAAGAAGGCUGUCAAGAAUACAAAUGGUGAUCCCCUCAGCUGAAAGAGACUUGAGGGAGGACAGUCGCCUAAUGACCGACAGCUUGUGUUCCUGGGGGCCAUUGCACUGACGAGGCAUACAGCUGAUGAAGGAAUUGUUAUGACGAAGAUGAAGGCGCCUUGCUUACAGCUGGCAGACAUUUGACCCCGAAAGACUGAUCACUGGACCAGCAUCAGCAGGGCAGCUGUGUGUGUGCGUGGUGUCAGAGGGCUAGCUGAGGAGGUCAGGCUGCAGGCUGAUCCUCUGCAGGACGUCCUCGGGCAUGCACAGAACAGGAUUCACCGGCUUGAUCUGCUCAUCUCCGAGAAGGGAGAGACCUGCGAUUCCGAACAGAGUGUGGAAGGGAUCCACCUGUGGAGAUGGAGGGAGAGAUGAUGACGGUCAGAGAGAGAUACUCCACUAAUAACUGGGCUUGUAAUGACACACUGCACCACAGCGUCUCAGCACAGCUUUCACUGAAGCCAAAAGGUGACGGUGAAGGCGGAUAUCAUCACAAGCCAAAGUGUGCAUCACAGAAGACAUCAUCACCAGGUAACAUUUGCUUGAGUGGACACAGUACAUGUGCAGUAUUUUCCCCACAAAUUCUUAACAUGUGCAGACCUUCAAGAGGUUUACUGUGGAUCUACAGCAAGACUGAUCUUAUCUCACAUGGAGACAGAGACAAAGGACAGGAUCAUGGAGGUGCUGGCAGUGAGAUAAGGGUGGAAGUUUGGGGUAAGCGCAGGUCUAAUACAUUUCCCCUUUCCACUGCAGAAUGCAGAAGUUAGUCGUAGUUGACAGCUCACCAUGUCUCCUGGUCUGUCAGCAAAACCUCCAGUCUCUUCAUCUUGACAGGCCAGGAUAAACGUUCGCAGCUUGGCCUUGUCGAUCCAGUGGAUCCUACCGAUGAUUUUUAGCGACGCCAGAACCCACCAGGAGUAGCACACAUCUGGAAGCUGAAAGAGGAUAAAAAACACAGGGUUGGAGAUCGGACUGUCUGAAGAAACUUUGUUUUGUGAAACUCAAGGCCUUUUAAAAUGAACUGCCAACACUGAAGAAAUAAGAAUCAGAAGAGCGGCAGAGCUAACUCAGGAAUCACUGUGUCCUGUCUUCUAGUUAAACGUCGACAUGCAAGUACACGACAGUAUCUGGAAAGCACAAACCUUCUCC
Long non-coding RNA from Scatophagus argus, 1719 nucleotides. RefSeq lists it as uncharacterized. The transcript is spliced from 8 exons. NCBI's taxonomy places the organism in Eukaryota, Metazoa, Chordata, Actinopteri, Scatophagidae. The record is from RefSeq and is a predicted model, not a curated record.